UACUAACUCUGGCGGCGUGCCUAAUACAUGCAAGUAGAACGCUGAAGAGAGGAGCUUGCUCUUCUUGGAUGAGUUGCGAACGGGUGAGUAACGCGUAGGUAACCUGCCUUGUAGCGGGGGAUAACUAUUGGAAACGAUAGCUAAUACCGCAUAACAAUGGAUGACACAUGUCAUUUAUUUGAAAGGGGCAAUUGCUCCACUACAAGAUGGACCUGCGUUGUAUUAGCUAGUAGGUGAGGUAAUGGCUCACCUAGGCGACGAUACAUAGCCGACCUGAGAGGGUGAUCGGCCACACUGGGACUGAGACACGGCCCAGACUCCUACGGGAGGCAGCAGUAGGGAAUCUUCGGCAAUGGGGGCAACCCUGACCGAGCAACGCCGCGUGAGUGAAGAAGGUUUUCGGAUCGUAAAGCUCUGUUGUAAGUCAAGAACGGGUGUGAGAGUGGAAAGUUCACACUGUGACGGUAGCUUACCAGAAAGGGACGGCUAACUACGUG
RNAcentral lists this ribosomal RNA (497 nucleotides) under uncultured bacterium. RNAcentral describes it as "partial 16S ribosomal RNA". It matches the Rfam family "Bacterial small subunit ribosomal RNA", at positions 29 to 507 of the family's 1533-position model. The record is from RNAcentral.